RNAcentral lists this ribosomal RNA (429 nucleotides) under uncultured bacterium. RNAcentral's name for it is "partial 16S ribosomal RNA". It matches the Rfam family "Bacterial small subunit ribosomal RNA", at positions 29 to 505 of the family's 1533-position model. The record is from RNAcentral.
AACGAACGCUGGCGGCAGGCCUAACACAUGCAAGUCGAGCGCCCCGCAAGGGGAGCGGCGGACGGGUGAGUAACGCGUGGGAACGUACCCUUUGCUACGGAAUAGCCUCGGGAAACUGGGAGUAAUACCGUAUGUGUCCUUCGGGAGAAAGAUUUAUCGGCAAGGGAUCGGCCCGCGUUGGAUUAGGUAGUUGGUGGGGUAAUGGCCUACCAAGCCGACGAUCCAUAGCUGGUUUGAGAGGAUGAUCAGCCACACUGGGACUGAGACACGGCCCAUACUCCUACGGGAGGCAGCAGUGGGGAAUCUUAGACAAUGGGCGCAAGCCUGAUCGAGCCAUGCCGCGUGAGCGAUGAAGGCCUGAGGGUUGUAAAGCUCUUUCAGGGGGGAAGAUAAUGACUGUACCCCCAGAAGAAGCCCCGGCUAACUCCG